Gambusia affinis (western mosquitofish) is the source of this 137-nucleotide small nucleolar RNA. Lineage: Eukaryota; Metazoa; Chordata; Actinopteri; Cyprinodontiformes; Poeciliidae. The record is from Ensembl.
GCGCACAGCGAACACCCAGGGAUGCUACUGUGGCUCUCCCUGGUCUCCUGUGUCUGUGCUACAGUAACUCUGAUUUGUACCUCUGCAUCAGGAGAGCCUCCUUCUCUCCUGCAUGUAUUCAGCGAAUCAGAAUAACC